Molecule: ribosomal RNA, 274 nt
Filed under: uncultured bacterium
Lineage: Bacteria
Description: partial 16S ribosomal RNA
Rfam family: Bacterial small subunit ribosomal RNA
Source: RNAcentral
AUACUUAGGGUGCAAGCGUUAAUCGGAAUUACUGGGCGUAAAGCGCUCGUAGGCGGCUUGUUAAGUCGGAUGUGAAAUCCCCGGGCUCAACCUGGGAACUGCAUUCGAUACUGGCAAGCUAGAGUAUAGUAGAGGCAAGUGGAAUUCCGGGUGUAGCGGUGAAAUGCGUAGAUAUCCGGAGGAACAUCAGUGGCGAAGGCGACUUGCUGGACUAAUACUGACGCUGAGGAGCGAAAGCGUGGGGAGCAAACGGGAUUAGAAACCCUUGUAGUCC